Non-coding RNA from Podarcis lilfordi (Lilford's wall lizard), 2250 nucleotides. Lineage: Eukaryota; Metazoa; Chordata; Lepidosauria; Squamata; Lacertidae. The record is from the annotation of a GenBank genome assembly.
GGAUAAAUCUUUCUCCCUAGGCCCAAAUGUCCUCUGUGACUCAGAAGUGCCCUUUACCAGCGUUGUCUGGUUUGACAGCUGUGACUGUUCCUGGACUUGGAUAGGCUGACCACUAUAGUCCAUGCACUGGUAACCUUGAGGCUGGAUUACUGUAAUGCGCUCUACAUAGGGUUGCCCUUGUGUUUGGUUCACAAGCUCCAGCUGGUGCAAAAUGCAGUGGCCAAAGUGCUGGUGGGGGCGUCUGGUUGAACCAAGGUCCAGAGCAGAAACAAGCGUAUCAUUGAUUUCCUCAGCUGGCAAAGCUUAUUUGAUAACAAAAAGGAACCAAGGCUUCAGAAUUGUUUUCUCCUUGCCAGUCCUGGGUAAGGGAAGGGUAAUGAUGGCAAUGCACCAUGUGGAGAUGGGGAAGAAAAGGAGGCAAGAGUAGAAGUGGUAUAGCUAUAAGAAAGUUUCGCAACCCUUUAGAAAAUUUGUUGCCACAGCUUCAGCAAUACACAUGCUGAAUUGACCUGGGCAGGUAUUUUAAAAGAAUGUUGUUGUGUUACUGUGCUGUCUUAAACACAGAAUAUUUUUUCUGUCUAAUGAAGAUUAGUUAGAUUUCAGAGGUAUGGCUUGUAACACACUGCAUAUUCAGAAUAUGCUGGAUUUUCUUGCUAAACUCUUAUAAUGAAGAUUGAAGGGGAACUGUACCGCACUGUACAGCUAGCUAACUUGGCAGUUAUAAUGAAGUGGUUUGUAUUACUAUGUUUUGAAUGACACAAAUCUAUUUACAAGGUAAAAACUGCAAAUAUGUUGUAUAGGAUUAUGCUGCUGAAAUGUAGUACAAACUGCACUGCAGCUUACUAUUCUAGUGGCACAGCAAUAAAAUUAAUAGCAUAUUUGCAAAGCUAAGCAGGUGCUGGUAUGGGUUCAAAUUGGAUGGGGGACCACAUGUUGAGAUUCCUUCUUUUCAGGGGGUUAGACUAGAUGACCCUCAGGAUCACUUCCACCUCUACAGAAAUAAGGACCCUGUGGCCCUCCAGAGGUUUGCUGAACUGAUAACCCACAUCAGCCUCAGCCUCAGCCAGCAUGGUCAUCCCAAUGUUCAGGGAUGAUGGGAAUUGUAGUCCAAUGAUAUCUGGAGUGCUACAGGUUCUCCAUCCUUCAUUUAGUUAGCAUUCUGUAUUAUAGAGAGCAUAGGCACGCUACAGUGAUUUUUACUGAGUGCCAAAGAACACAUUUCUUAGGUUUCUGUGGCCACAGGAGAGAGAGGCAGAUACAAGAGACAAAGACAUAUAUGGAUACAGUUUGAAUGAUUCUAUUAUAAUUCACAUGCCGGGAGGGAAGAGUGAAUUCUGAUUUAUGACCGUUUCCUGUCUUAUGUCCUUUUACAGUUGCUUUAGUCAGCAGAUUCCUCGAUGUGGGGAGUACACAGUGGUGUGUGGGUGUGGGUGUGUGAGAGAGAGACAAGAGGGAAAUUGCUGGUGCCACACACCAUCUCCCUGCUUAGGGGUUGGGGUUUUUUUUCAAGAGCUCUAGUUCAAAUCAAGGUACAUUUUGAUGAUCUCUUUCAUGUGUGAUAAAGUCUAAGGCUGGCACCAGUACGGUGCUAAUUUAACAAGAGGGAAAUCGUUGGUGCCACAAUGAUAUAAAAUUGUAUUAAUGCAAUGAACUAAACUUACUUGUCAUUUGAGUAGCACCAAACACAUCACUUUUGUCAGGUGUUGCAAUUGGAAAUCAUAGUGAUAUAACUGUUGCAGCCAUGCUGGUAUUGGCCUGAAAUAUUUUGUAGAGCUUUGUCGAAAGAAAAGUGGGGUGCUCAGGAGAGCUCUGUAGAGAAAGUGGGGUGCUCAGGAGAGUCUCUUGUGGCCCCUUCCUUGCCCCACUGCUGCACAAUUGCUUUAUUUUCCAGUAGUUUCUGCCACUACUCUCUUUUGUCGCUCACUUGCAGCCCCAGAAAAGCAGAAAACUGGGGCUGUCCAAUUAAUGAUUCAACUUGGGAAUCCUUGACCAGUGUCCUUUGAGCCUCCAGCCAAUCUCUCUUAAUUUAUGCAAAACAUAAAGCCAGCUCUCCAGCCUUCUGCCUCUCCCCAUGAAUAGAGCAAAUAUCUGACUUUACCAGCUCUAGUCUUAGACUGCUAAUAGGAUGAAACCCAAAGUGAGGAAGGCACAUGAGGAUUCCCAAAUCCUGAGAUUGGCAAUUGCACAUAGACUCCACUAGUCCAGUUGUGAAACUUUAUUAAGAAUAUUGGCAAGAGAGCAAUAAGGUCC